RNAcentral lists this long non-coding RNA (668 nucleotides) under Chrysemys picta bellii (western painted turtle). Its description in RNAcentral is "lncRNA (ENSCPBG00000015013.1)". Lineage: Eukaryota; Metazoa; Chordata; Testudines; Emydidae. The record is from RNAcentral.
UGACACAGUGAUGAGAGACUUGCAAGCAAUCAGGUUUUUGCAACAUCAAUUAAUCCAAGAAGCGAUUUUAUGCUGUACCUCCUUACUGAUCGGUAACCAUGCAUGAGGUUACACGUCCCCUCCCCCACCAAGAAUGUGCCUCCCUGCUGCAUUAGUAACUAUCUCUUCAACGCAUAUUCAGUUACCAGUCUCCCUCUAUAAUCAGCAGCAGCUUUUUUUUUGCAUUCUAGUAGACUAAAAGGACUGCAGUCGUUCAAAAUGCACUUUGUAGGUAUUUUAAUACUUGUCCAGAAUGUGUAGGUUCAGUUACAUUGUGUAGUGAAUUUAACAUGAAUCAUCUUAUUUUUAUCAUGCAAAAUAAACGUUAGUUUGUUUCUUUCAGUGAAAUACACAUGCUGUGAAUGAAAAUGCAUAAUUUCAAGUACAGGCAGUCGCUGCUGUCCCUUCAUCAGCACCUCUGUCUCAGAUCUCCAAUGCAGCAAAAUUCCUGGUGCUUCUGAACAUUUUGAAUGCCUUGCAGUUGGAGCAGCACAGCAAAGUUUGUCACAGGCAUUAUACCAUUUUCAUAUUGUAUGGUAAAUUUAAACCCUUUGAAGCUGCACCACAGAAGACUAGAAAAGCUGGUAAGUUGAUAAUAUACAGGGACAUUGAAUAGUGUUAUGUAUGUA